This 27-nucleotide non-coding RNA is filed under the name Homo sapiens (human). The record is from RNAcentral. Lineage: Eukaryota; Metazoa; Chordata; Mammalia; Primates; Hominidae.
CUAGAAGACUUGUAAUGUUCCCAACAC